GGGCGUUAAGUUGCAGGGUAUAGACCCGAAACCCGGUGAUCUAGCCAUGGGCAGGUUGAAGGUUGGGUAACACUAACUGGAGGACCGAACCGACUAAUGUUGAAAAAUUAGCGGAUGACCUGUGGCUGGGGGUGAAAGGCCAAUCAAACCGGGAGAUAGCUGGUUCUCCCCGAAAGCUAUUUAGGUAGCGCCUCGUGAAUUCAUCUCCGGGGGUAGAGCACUGUUUCGGCUAGGGGGCCAUCCCGGCUUACCAACCCGAUGCAAACUGCGAAUACCGGAGAAUGUUAUCACGGGAGACACACGGCGGGUGCUAACGUCCGUCGUGAAGAGGGAAACAACCCAGACCGCCAGCUAAGGUCCCAAAGUCAUGGUUAAGUGGGAAACGAUGUGGGAAGGCCCAGACAGCCAGGAUGUUGGCUUAGAAGCAGCCAUCAUUUAAAGAAAGCGUAAUAGCUCACUGGUCGAGUCGGCCUGCGCGGAAGAUGUAACGGGGCUAAACCAUGCACCGAAGCUGCGGCAGCGACGUUUAUGCGUUGUUGGGUAGGGGAGCGUUCUGUAAGCCUGCGAAGGUGGCCUGUGAGGGUUGCUGGAGGUAUCAGAAGUGCGAAUGCUGACAUAAGUAACGAUAAAGCGGGUGAAAAGCCCGCU
RNAcentral lists this ribosomal RNA (648 nucleotides) under Salmonella enterica subsp. enterica serovar Bovismorbificans. RNAcentral describes it as "partial 23S ribosomal RNA". It matches the Rfam family "Bacterial large subunit ribosomal RNA", at positions 690 to 1334 of the family's 2925-position model. Lineage: Bacteria; Pseudomonadati; Pseudomonadota; Gammaproteobacteria; Enterobacterales; Enterobacteriaceae. The record is from RNAcentral.